This is a long non-coding RNA of Amblyraja radiata (thorny skate), 234 nucleotides long. RefSeq lists it as uncharacterized. Lineage: Eukaryota; Metazoa; Chordata; Chondrichthyes; Rajiformes; Rajidae. The record is from RefSeq and is a predicted model, not a curated record. The transcript is spliced from 3 exons.
UCUGGAUAAAGUUUAAUUUUAGAGUCCAUUAUAAAGGAUGAGGUUGCAGAGUAGUUAGAAGUUCCCGAUAAAAUAUGCCAAAGUCAGCAUGGCUUUGUGAAGGGGAGGUCUUGCCUGCAAAAUUUGCUGGAAUUCUUUGAAGAAGUAAAUGGCAGAACACCCAAAUGAGUGAGUCAGUAGAAUCUGUAUACCUAGAUUUUCAGAAAGCCGUUGAUAAGGUGCCACAUGGGAGGC